This 253-nucleotide ribosomal RNA is filed under the name uncultured bacterium. RNAcentral describes it as "partial 16S ribosomal RNA". It matches the Rfam family "Bacterial small subunit ribosomal RNA", at positions 524 to 776 of the family's 1533-position model. The record is from RNAcentral.
UACGGGGGGGGCAAGCGUUGUUCGUAAUUACUGGGCGUAAAGGGUGCGUAGGCGGCUUUUUAAGUCGGAUGUGAAAACUCUGGGCUCAACCCAGAGACUGCAUCCGAAACUGGAGAGCUAGGGUUCUGGAGGGGAAAGCGGAAUUCCUGGUGUAGCAGUGAAAUGCGUAGAUAUCAGGAGGAACACCGGUGGCGAAGGCGGCUUUCUGGACAGAUACCGACGCUGAGGCACGAAAGCUAGGGGAGCAAACAGG